Molecule: small RNA, 1644 nt
Filed under: Pan troglodytes (chimpanzee)
Lineage: Eukaryota; Metazoa; Chordata; Mammalia; Primates; Hominidae
Description: processed transcript
Source: RNAcentral
CCCCUCCCGGUCUGUGGAAACAUUGCCUUCCAAGAAACCGGUCCCUGGUGCCGAGAAGGUUACGGACCCUGCUAUAAAGGAUCUGUUUUGGAACACAAAUGGGCAUUUUCAUCUGGCAUCAUCUCAUACUUUGAGCUCUGGCCAAAAAGAUAGGGAACCAGGGACUGGGCCAGUGAAGCUCCCCCCAGCUCCCAGGGCUACCGGAGGCCAGCUUCUGCAGACUCAAAUAAUCAGAACCCAUCACUGAAAUAUUCAAGGAGAAAUUAGAUAACUUUUAUUCUUCUUCAUGAACUCCCUUUUCAUCUUAACGCAAGCUGUUAAGUGCAUUAAGAUGCGAUGUGAUUUAGUCCAGCGUGGUAGUGGUCACUGGUUUGCCAAUAAUAAUUCUAAAUUGUUAUGUACCCAUUACCGAAUAAACAGGCUGCAGGCACGGGCCUGACCUCGAGGCACAUCUAGCCAUUUGAGGAGGUCACACAGGCACACUUCAGUAGAACUGGCAGUACAGGCAGGCUCCACGGCAUGCGGGCAGAGGGAUGUUUAAAGUUUCUCUAAUACUUACUGAUUCUGUAUUAUGGAUCGCCUGAGCUUUUAUAGAAAAUGUGGGACAUACAGGAGUAUACAGAGGAAUAAGCUGCCUGUAACCCCUGCCCAGGGAGACCACCGUAUGCACUUGUAUGUGGGGCGUUUUCAGUACAGCAGUGGUUCGUUCUUCUAACCAAAAGGAGUAUGCCAGUUUUCUGGACAUCAGCAGUUCCCAGUAACUCCUUUGGCUGAUAAUAGCAAGUUUCUGAGAAAGUGCUUGUGAUAUUUCACAUUCUCGUGGUCUUCUCCUUUUACAGCCUCAAGCAGCCUGCCACCCUGCCAUAUUCCGGGUUGUUGAUGAGAUGUUCAGGUGUGCACUCCUGGAAACCGAUGGAGCCCUGGAAAUCAUAGCCACUAUUCAGGUGUUUACGCAGUGCUUUGUAGAAGCUCUGGAGAAAGAAAGCAAGCAGCUGCGGUUUGCACUCAAGACCUACUUUCCUUACACUUCUCCAUCUCUUGGCAUGGUGCUGCUGCAAGACCCUCAAGAUAUCCCUCGGGGACACUGGCUCCAGACACUGAAGCAUAUUUCUGAACUGCUCAGAGAAGCAGUUGAAGACCAGACUCAUGGGUGAGCAAACACUGACCACUCCCAAAUCUACUUCACACAUGGUUUCCCUAGAUCCUCAUCUGCCCUUUGAGCAGGGCUGACAGAGGAAGGCAUUACUGGUCUGGGACCAUCACCAAACAGGUGAGCACCAUGGUGAAGUGAGAAGUGGAGGAAGCGCAUGGCUGCACGGAUGGCUUGGAGCAGGUCAGGAUGAAUAGGCAUGCGCAUGUAUGCGUGUGUCAAUACCUGUAUCGAAACGUUUUCUACAUUAACGUCUGGUUUUAGAUUUUGAAAUAUACAGGCAUAACAAUAAAAAGAAGAGGCCUUGGAAAAAGCAGCACCCACCUGCUGGGAACCCCUCCCUGGCCGCACAGAAGGGAAAGGGCACUUGUUUGGGUCCUGUGGUCUUCCCUCUACCUCUCUAGGGAAGGAGAUUUGAAACUCCUACACAGUAGGGUGGAAUGUUAAAUGCUUGCUUUUCCUUCUCUCUAAUAAAUAUCUCUAAAAUGAGAAAA